UACGUAGGGGGCAAGCGUUAUCCGGAUUUACUGGGUGUAAAGGGGGCGCAGACGGCGAUGCAAGCCAGGAGUGAAAGCCCGGGGCCCAACCCCGGGACUGCUCUUGGAACUGCGUGGCUGGAGUGCAGGAGGGGCAGGCGGAAUUCCUGGUGUAGCGGUGAAAUGCGUAGAUAUCAGGAGGAACACCGGUGGCGAAGGCGGCCUGCUGGACUGCAACUGACGUUGAGGCCCGAAAGCGUGGGGAGCAAGCAGG
This 253-nucleotide ribosomal RNA is filed under the name uncultured bacterium. RNAcentral's name for it is "partial 16S ribosomal RNA". It matches the Rfam family "Bacterial small subunit ribosomal RNA", at positions 524 to 776 of the family's 1533-position model. The record is from RNAcentral.